RNAcentral lists this ribosomal RNA (864 nucleotides) under Ernakulamia cochinensis. RNAcentral describes it as "partial large subunit ribosomal RNA". It matches the Rfam family "Eukaryotic large subunit ribosomal RNA", at positions 71 to 952 of the family's 3401-position model. Lineage: Eukaryota; Fungi; Ascomycota; Dothideomycetes; Pleosporales; Tetraplosphaeriaceae. The record is from RNAcentral.
GGGAUUGCCUCAGUAACGGCGAGUGAAGCGGCAACAGCUCAAAUUUGAAAUCUGACCCCUUUGGGGCCCGAGUUGUAAUUUGUAGAGGGUGCUUUGGCGUUGGUUCCGGCCUAAGUUCCUUGGAACAGGACGUCACAGAGGGUGAGAAUCCCGUACGUGGCCGGCUUCCUCCGCCGUGUAAAGCCCCUUCGACGAGUCGAGUUGUUUGGGAAUGCAGCUCUAAAUGGGAGGUAAAUUUCUUCUAAAGCUAAAUAUUGGCCAGAGACCGAUAGCGCACAAGUAGAGUGAUCGAAAGAUGAAAAGCACUUUGGAAAGAGAGUCAAAAAGCACGUGAAAUUGUUGAAAGGGAAGCGCUUGCAGCCAGACUUGCCUGUAGUUGCUCAUCCGGGCUCUUGCCCGGUGCACUCUUCUACUGGCAGGCCAGCAUCAGUUUGGGCGGCCGGAUAAAGGCCUUGGGAAUGUAGCUCCCUCCGGGGAGUGUUAUAGCCCGGGGUGUCAUGCGGCCAGCCUGGACUGAGGUCCGCGCAUCUGCUAGGAUGCUGGCGUAAUGGCUGUAAGCGGCCCGUCUUGAAACACGGACCAAGGAGUCUAACAUCUAUGCGAGUGUUUGGGUGUCAAGCCCGGGCGCGUAAUGAAAGUGAACGGAGGUGGGAACCCUUCCAGGGUGCACCAUCGACCGAUCCUGAUGUCUUCGGAUGGAUUUGAGUAAGAGCAUAGCUGUUGGGACCCGAAAGAUGGUGAACUAUGCCUGCAUAGGGUGAAGCCAGAGGAAACUCUGGUGGAGGCUCGCAGCGGUUCUGACGUGCAAAUCGAUCGUCAAAUUUGGGCAUAGGGGCGAAAGACUAAUCGAACUAUCUAGUAGCU